UACGAAGGUCCCAAGCGUUGUUCGGAAUCACUGGGCGUAAAGGGAGCGUAGGCGGCGUGGUAAGUCAGAUGUGGAAUCCCGGGGCUCAACCCCGGAACUGCAUCCGAUACUGCCAUGCUAGAGGAUUGGAGAGGUAGCUGGAAUUCUUGGUGUAGCAGUGAAAUGCGUAGAGAUCAAGAGGAACACCCGUGGCGAAAGCGAGCUACUGGACAAUUCCUGACGCUGAGGCUCGAAGGCUAGGGUAGCGAAAGGG
This 253-nucleotide ribosomal RNA is filed under the name uncultured bacterium. Its description in RNAcentral is "partial 16S ribosomal RNA". It matches the Rfam family "Bacterial small subunit ribosomal RNA", at positions 524 to 776 of the family's 1533-position model. The record is from RNAcentral.